RNAcentral lists this ribosomal RNA (294 nucleotides) under uncultured bacterium. RNAcentral's name for it is "partial 16S ribosomal RNA". It matches the Rfam family "Bacterial small subunit ribosomal RNA", at positions 775 to 1067 of the family's 1533-position model. The record is from RNAcentral.
GGAUUAGAUACCCUGGUAGUCCACGCCCUAAACGAUGCGAACUGGAUGUUGAUUUCAAGUGAGAGAUCAGUAUCGAAGCUAACGCGUUAAGUUCGCCGCCUGGGGAGUACGGUCGCAAGACUGAAACUCAAAGGAAUUGACGGGGGCCCGCACAAGCGGUGGAGUAUGUGGUUUAAUUCGAUGCAACGCGAAGAACCUUACCUGGCCUUGACAUGUCCGGAACCUGGCGGAAACGCUGGGGUGCCUUCGGGAGCCGGAACACAGGUGCUGCAUGGCUGUCGUCAGCUCGUGCCG